RNAcentral lists this ribosomal RNA (303 nucleotides) under uncultured Fusobacterium sp. Its description in RNAcentral is "bacterial SSU rRNA". It matches the Rfam family "Bacterial small subunit ribosomal RNA", at positions 1212 to 1513 of the family's 1533-position model. The record is from RNAcentral. Lineage: Bacteria; Fusobacteriati; Fusobacteriota; Fusobacteriia; Fusobacteriales; Fusobacteriaceae.
GGCUACACACGUGCUACAAUGGGUAGUACAGAGAGUCGCAAAGCCGCGAGGUGAAGCUAAUCUCAGAAAACUAUUCUUAGUUCGGAUUGUACUCUGCAACUCGAGUACAUGAAGUUGGAAUCGCUAGUAAUCGCGAAUCAGCAAUGUCGCGGUGAAUACGUUCUCGGGUCUUGUACACACCGCCCGUCACACCACGAGAGUUGGUUGCACCUGAAGUAGCAAGCCUAACCGUAAGGAGGGAUGCUCCGAGGGUGUGAUUAGCGAUUGGGGUGAAGUCGUAACAAGGUAUCCGUACGGGAACGU